RNAcentral lists this long non-coding RNA (309 nucleotides) under Marmota monax (woodchuck). The record is from RNAcentral. Lineage: Eukaryota; Metazoa; Chordata; Mammalia; Rodentia; Sciuridae.
UAUUUGUGGGGUGUGGGAUGCAAGAAGUCAGCACCAGACUGGGGAUCCCAGAGACCUUUUCAUAAGUGUGAUGCCAAGUGGCCAGUGACUCCCCAUCCUAGAGCCAGAGAAGACAAUGAUCUUGAUUCCCAGGUUUCCCAGAAGGCCCUGGGCCAGUUCCCAGCCCCAGACCAGAUCCUCUUUCAAGAGCAUCUCUGUGACCAAGAUCACUCAGGCAGAUCGGGUAGUGGAGGAGCACGGACAGGUGGACAGUGAAGGCCGAGGGGACCACAGCAACCUUUCAAGGAACAGACAGCAGUCCUAGAGAUG